GAUGAACGCUGGCGGCGUGCCUAAUACAUGCAAGUCGAGCGAACGGACGAGAAGCUCUCUCUUCUGAUGUUAGCGGCGGACGGGCGAGUAACACAUGGAUAACCUACCUAUAACACUGGGAUAACUUCGGGAAACCGGAGCUACUACCGGAUAAUAUUUUGAACCGCCUGGUUCAAAAGUGAAAGACGGUCUUGCUGUCACCUAUAGAUGGAUCCGCGCUGCAUUAGCUAGUUGGUAAGGUAACGGCUUACCAAGGCAACGAUGCAUAGCCGACCUGAGAGGGUGAUCGGCCACACUAGAACGGAGACACGGUCCAGACUCCUACGGGAGGCAGCAGUAGGGAAUCUUCCGCAAUGGGCGAAAGCCUGACGGAGAAACGCCGCGUGAGUGAUGAAGGGCUUCGGAUCGUAAAUCUCUGUUAUUAGGGAAGAACAUAUGUGUAAGUAACUGUGCACAUCUUGACGGUACCUAAUCAGAAAGCCACGGCUAACUACGUG
This 497-nucleotide ribosomal RNA is filed under the name uncultured bacterium. RNAcentral describes it as "partial 16S ribosomal RNA". It matches the Rfam family "Bacterial small subunit ribosomal RNA", at positions 28 to 507 of the family's 1533-position model. The record is from RNAcentral.